RNAcentral lists this ribosomal RNA (253 nucleotides) under uncultured bacterium. RNAcentral describes it as "partial 16S ribosomal RNA". It matches the Rfam family "Bacterial small subunit ribosomal RNA", at positions 524 to 776 of the family's 1533-position model. The record is from RNAcentral.
UACGUAGGGUGCGAGCGUUAAUCGGAAUUACUGGGCGUAAAGCGUGCGCAGGCGGUUUUGUAAGACGGAUGUGAAAUCCCCGGGCUUAACCUGGGAAUGGCAUUCGGGACUGCAAGGCUGGAGUGCGGCAGAGGAGACUGGAAUUCCUGGUGUAGCAGUGAAAUGCGUAGAUAUCAGGAGGAACACCGAUGGCGAAGGCAGGUCUCUGGGCUGACACUGACGCUCAUGCACGAAAGCGUGGGGAGCAAACAGG